UUUAAAUUGAAGAGUUUGAUCAUGGCUCAGAUUGAACGCUGGCGGCAGGCCUAACACAUGCAAGUCGAACGGUAACAGGAAGCAGCUUGCUGCUUUGCUGACGAGUGGCGGACGGGUGAGUAAUGUCUGGGAAACUGCCCGAUGGAGGGGGAUAACUACUGGAAACGGUAGCUAAUACCGCAUAACGUCGCAAGACCAAAGAGGGGGACCUUAGGGCCUCUUGCCAUCGGAUGUGCCCAGAUGGGAUUAGCUAGUAGGUGGGGUAAUGGCUCACCUAGGCGACGAUCCCUAGCUGGUCUGAGAGGAUGACCAGCCACACUGGAACUGAGACACGGUCCAGACUCCUACGGGAGGCAGCAGUGGGGAAUAUUGCACAAUGGGCGCAAGCCUGAUGCAGCCAUGCCGCGUGUAUGAAGAAGGCCUUCGGGUUGUAAAGUACUUUCAGCGGGGAGGAAGGGAGUAAAGUUAAUACCUUUGCUCAUUGACGUUACCCGCAGAAGAAGCACCGGCUAACUCCGUGCCAGCAGCCGCGGUAAUACGGAGGGUGCAAGCGUUAAUCGGAAUUACUGGGCGUAAAGCGCACGCAGGCGGUUUGUUAAGUCAGAUGUGAAAUCCCCGGGCUCAACCUGGGAACUGCAUCUGAUACUGGCAAGCUUGAGUCUCGUAGAGGGGGGUAGAAUUCCAGGUGUAGCGGUGAAAUGCGUAGAGAUCUGGAGGAAUACCGGUGGCGAAGGCGGCCCCCUGGACGAAGACUGACGCUCAGGUGCGAAAGCGUGGGGAGCAAACAGGAUUAGAUACCCUGGUAGUCCACGCCGUAAACGAUGUCGACUUGGAGGUUGUGCCCUUGAGGCGUGGCUUCCGGAGCUAACGCGUUAAGUCGACCGCCUGGGGAGUACGGCCGCAAGGUUAAAACUCAAAUGAAUUGACGGGGGCCCGCACAAGCGGUGGAGCAUGUGGUUUAAUUCGAUGCAACGCGAAGAACCUUACCUGGUCUUGACAUCCACGGAAGUUUUCAGAGAUGAGAAUGUGCCUUCGGGAACCGUGAGACAGGUGCUGCAUGGCUGUCGUCAGCUCGUGUUGUGAAAUGUUGGGUUAAGUCCCGCAACGAGCGCAACCCUUAUCCUUUGUUGCCAGCGGUCCGGCCGGGAACUCAAAGGAGACUGCCAGUGAUAAACUGGAGGAAGGUGGGGAUGACGUCAAGUCAUCAUGGCCCUUACGACCAGGGCUACACACGUGCUACAAUGGCGCAUACAAAGAGAAGCGACCUCGCGAGAGCAAGCGGACCUCAUAAAGUGCGUCGUAGUCCGGAUUGGAGUCUGCAACUCGACUCCAUGAAGUCGGAAUCGCUAGUAAUCGUGGAUCAGAAUGCCACGGUGAAUACGUUCCCGGGCCUUGUACACACCGCCCGUCACACCAUGGGAGUGGGUUGCAAAAGAAGUAGGUAGCUUAACCUUCGGGAGGGCGCUUACCACUUUGUGAUUCAUGACUGGGGUGAAGUCGUAACAAGGUAACCGUAGGGGAACCUGCGGUUGGAUCACCUCCUUA
Molecule: ribosomal RNA, 1545 nt
Filed under: Escherichia coli
Lineage: Bacteria; Pseudomonadati; Pseudomonadota; Gammaproteobacteria; Enterobacterales; Enterobacteriaceae
Description: 16S ribosomal RNA
Rfam family: Bacterial small subunit ribosomal RNA
Source: RNAcentral